This 252-nucleotide ribosomal RNA is filed under the name uncultured bacterium. RNAcentral describes it as "partial 16S ribosomal RNA". It matches the Rfam family "Bacterial small subunit ribosomal RNA", at positions 524 to 776 of the family's 1533-position model. The record is from RNAcentral.
UACGUAGGAUGCGAGCGUUAUCCGGAUUUAUUGGGUUUAAAGGGUGCGUAGGCGGAUCGUUAAGUCAGUGGUCAAAUUGAGGGGCUCAACCCCUUCCCGCCAUUGAAACUGGCGAUCUUGAGUGGAAGAGAAGUAUGCGGAAUGCGUGGUGUAGCGGUGAAAUGCAUAGAUAUCACGCAGAACCCCGAUUGCGAAGGCAGCAUGCCGGCUUCCGACUGACGCUGAGGCACGAAAGCGUGGGGAUCAAACAGG